GGUUUCUAGGACCGCCGUAAUGAUUAAUAGGGAUAGUCGGGGGCAUCAGUAUUCAAUUGUCAGAGGUGAAAUUCUUGGAUUUAUUGAAGACUAACUACUGCGAAAGCAUUUGCCAAGGAUGUUUUCAUUAAUCAGUGAACGAAAGUUAGGGGAUCGAAGACGAUCAGAUACCGUCGUAGUCUUAACCAUAAACUAUGCCGACUAGGGAUCGGGCGAUGUUAUUUUUUGACUCGCUCGGCACCUUACGAGAAAUCAAAGUUUUUGGGUUCUGGGGGGAGUAUGGUCGCAAGGCUGAAACUUAAAGAAAUUGACGGAAGGGCAAAAACAUUCGGUGGUGCCCUAAAUUUACUAAGUCCUCCGGGGCAAGGUCGCUGAACUGUGGGGACUCUCGUUCUGAGAUGCCCGCAGCUGUACUCACUAGAGUACGGUUCACAGGUCAAGCAGUGGCCGGCGGCGCUCAGCGCGCUGUUUUGAUAUGAUCGGUCUGCUCGUUAAGACGAGCAGGAACUUGCCACCAGGAGUGGAGCCUGCGGCUUAAUUUGACUCAACACGGGGAAACUCACCAGGUCCAGACACAAUAAGGAUUGACAGAUUGAGAGCUCUUUCUUGAUUUUGUGGGUGGUGGUGCAUGGCCGUUCUUAGUUGGUGGAGUGAUUUGUCUGCUUAAUUGCGAUAACGAACGAGACCUUAACCUGCUAAAUAGCCAGGCUAGCUUUGGCUGGUCGCCGGCUUCUUAGAGGGAC
RNAcentral lists this ribosomal RNA (743 nucleotides) under fungal sp. EA10-79. RNAcentral's name for it is "partial 18S ribosomal RNA". It matches the Rfam family "Eukaryotic small subunit ribosomal RNA", at positions 846 to 1420 of the family's 1831-position model. Lineage: Eukaryota; Fungi. The record is from RNAcentral.